UGAGCUGGAUGUGAUUAUCAUCGAUUUGCUUAUAAUAGUACUACAUAUGUUCAUUCUCCCUCUACUCUAUCGGGUAUUCUGAUUUGUACAUGUAUGCGUAGAAAAGAUAUAAUGGAAGGAGAUUGGUUCACUAUCAUAUGUGCUGUAUGACAUAUAAUCGUAGAAUGAUAGUAUUUGUCUUCCGGUAAAAAAUGUGCCUGUAGCUCCCGCGACUAGUAUUGUGUUGAUUUUCUUUUUGCGGGGUUAGUAUUGUGUUGAUUUUGGUUGUUUUCUUAUCCUGCAUUGGUGGGCUUUCAAGGACGGCCGUCGCUACUUGAGUAUACUGGGCAUUCCAUGUUGUUCACGAGCUCAGUAAAUAAGGAAAGUGAAAAACGGAAAACCGCGUGCUGUUGACAUGGACAAACACAUCUGCCUAGCCUAGCCCAGCCCAAGCACCCAAAUAUGGAAACCUUGUGGGGCCCUGGGAUCCGGGUAGCAGACACGAACUCGGUCGCACGCGUCACCGUAAUGAUUACUCACAACUCGAGUCUAAUUCAGAAUCCGAGCAGCAGGCGUGAUCGCCCGUAGGUGGAUACACAGUAUAUAUGUGUGACGAGCGAUCGUCCGUCGAUUCCAACCCGUCCGCUCACAAGCGAUUCCAUCACCCUCGACUCCACGCGCGCUCUCUCGGCGUCGGCGAGCAACUCCGUCGCCCGCCAUGGUUGCCCACGGCCGCCGCUCCAGGGCGCCGGGGCGCCCGCACUUCGCCCUCGACGCCCACCCCUGCGAGCAAGAGCUCAUCGCGGCGUACCUCGGCCCGCGAGUCACCGACGGCGACAUGUCGUGCAAGUUCAUCCACGAAGGCGACGUCUACGCCGCCCACCCUGAGGACCUCACGCAGCAGUACGCCGCGGCCGUCUCCAGCAACGGCGACGAGGCGUGGUACUUCUUCACCGCCGUGCGGGCCAAAGGCGGCGGCCGCAGGGGGCGCACGGUGGACUCCCAGGAGGGGUGCUGGCACUCCGAGGCCGGCUCCAAGCCCGUGGUCUCGGCGCACCACCACGGCGGAGGCCUCCUGGGCCAUCGCCAGAACUUCUCGUUCGUCACCAAGGAGGACGGUGUGCGGGUCCGCUCCGGGUGGCUCAUGGUGGAGCUCGGCCUGCACGGCGACGGCCAGGACGAGGUCACCCUCUGCAAGGUCUACUUCAGCCCGCGCGCCGCCAAGAACAACAAGGAACCCGCCGCGUCGUCGUCCGCGCGCAAGAGGAAGGCCGACGCCGACAGCCCUGCCCCGGCGCGCCAAUACCGCCGCCGCCGCGAAAUGAACCAGGACGAUCACCCGGUGGAGAAACAAGACGUGGAGGCCGGCGAACAAGAGGGGCUCGUCGAGGAGAGCUCGGCGGACGAGCAUGAGGCUGUGGAUCCGAAUGACUUCUUUUGGUGGCUGCGGAACAAGGAGAAGGUGAGGCUGGCAUUGGGCAUCAGCGAGGAAGACUUCUACAGCCCCCCAUCUGCGGCUGCCUUGGAAAGAAGCUUCGGGCCGGACUGGCCGCCGGCUGCACCACCUUCCAGCCCCGUCGUUCCCAACGAGGACAAGCCCGUGGUCAUGUGGUUGACGUACGAGGAGCUUAACGAUCUGCCGGAGGUCAGAGAGUUCUUGUCGCCCACCAGGUUGCUGGAGGAGAUGAGAUCGUCUGUCAAGCAACACGAAUAGAUCGAUUGAUGACUAGCUGCUAGAAGGAUGUUUUCGCUUGCUCUUUGACUUGAGGUGGAUGGCCUUGUUAUUGUCCUAAUUCAGUUGACGUAUACUUAAGUGCCACUCAGAUCCCUGUAUCGAAGCAGCCGUUUGGCGCAACACCUGUUUUUAUUGAAUGGCGAUGAAAAUCGUUAUAUCUUUGCAUUUUAAGUACGACAUCACAUUUGGAUGGUAUUUUUUCUCUCGAAACAAACUUUCACCCCGCUUUAUAGACAAAGCCACACGGCCAAACGAUAAGAAGUGUUAAAAGAAGAGUGUUUCUUCAACUCCCGGGUGUCCCUACACCCUAUACGAACAGUAAAUUUAUAAAAGAAAAUGGAAAAUAAAAAAAUCUAUAAUUUCGUGGCAUCAAUGCUCAAACUUUGUAGGUGCUUGCAAGAUUUCAUGACAAAUUUCACAAAAAAAGAUUUCAUGACAAAAAACAUUCUAUGAUGUCUACACAAGAAAAAGAUUUCAGUGCUUAAAGUUUUGAGCACCGACUUUUUGUUUUCCAUGUGUAGAGCUCAUAUGAUCAUAUUUCUCGACGAAAAUUUGCAAGCACCUAAUUUUUGAGCUAGUUUGAUGUCACAAAAUGUCAUUUUUUAUGAAUUUGUUGGUCAUGAGGGUGUAGGGACACCCAGGAGCUACCACUUAUUUCUCCUAAAAGAAUCCUCAUACAAGCCGGUCAAAGAAAACUAUAGUAGACAAGCUAAGCACCGUCAAAAACCACGAUGGGUGCCCUACUGAACAUCGAUAACUUGUCGCCCAGAAGAAGCACAUGAGUGGCCGAACCACCACGAGACCACCAAGGCCACUCAUGGCAUAUGAACAUGCACCACCUCGAAGAAAACAAUGGACUUCAUUGCAACAUCCCCACCAGACCAAGGUCAGAUAGGGUCCUUUGCCCUCUCAUAUCGGACCGUGGAGCAUCGGCCCUGUCGGCAAGACUAGAGGAUGCCAUCACUUGUAAGAGAGAGAGAGGGGCAAACGUAGGCACAAGAUGCUGGAGCCGAGGUGGCAAUGGGUGGAGCUCCGAGCCAGCCCAAAGAACGUCGUCGCAACCAGAUAAACUCGCAAUCAUUGAUGAUGACGGCCCAAGAGGAGCACACGCUGUUGGGGAAUGUAGCAUGCAAUUUCAAAAAAUUUCCUACGAUCACGCAAGAUCUAUCUAGGAGAUGCAUAGCAACGAGAGGGAGAGAGUGUGUCCACGUACCCUCGUAAACCGAAAACGGAAGCGUUAAGUUAACGCGGUUGAUGUAGUCGAACGUCCUCAUGAUCUAAGCGAUCCAAGUACCGAACGUACGGCACCUCCGUGUUUAGCACACGUUCAGCUCGAUGACGUCCCUCGAGCUCUUGAUCCAGUAGAGGGUCGAGGAAGAGUUCCGACAGCAUGACGGUGAUGGUGAUGUGAUCCGCGCCGGGCUUCGGCUAAGCACUACGACGCUAUGAUCGGAGGAGUAAACUGUGGAGGAGGGCACCACACAUGACUAAGAGAACUAUUGGUGUGCCUUUGGGGUGCCUCCUGGCCAUGUAUAUAAAGGAGGGGGAGAGAGGAUGGCGGCCAGGAGGGGCGCGCCACGGGGGGAGUCCUACUUGGACUCCUAGUCCAAGUAGGAUUCGCCCCCCCCCUUUUCCUUUCUUCCACCGAAGGGAAUAGAAAGGAGAGGGAGAGGGAAAGUGAAGGGGGGCGCCGCCCCCUCCUCCUUGUCCUAUUCGGACUCCCAAGGAGGGGGCACGCGUCCAACCCCCGCGGGCUUCCCUCUCUCUCCCUUAGGCCCAUGUUGGCCCAAUACUUCCCCGGGGGGUUCUGGUAACCCCUCGGUACUCCAGAAAAAUACACGAAUCACUCGGAACCAUUCCGAUGUCCGAAUACUACCUUUCAAUAUAUGAAUCUUUACCUCUCGACCAUUUCGAGACUCCUCGUCAUGUCCGUGAUCACAUCCGGGACUCCGAACAAACUUCGGUCACCAAAACACAUAACUCAUAAUACAAAUCGUCAUCGAACGUUAAGCGUGCGGACCCUACGGGUUCGAGAACUAUGUAGACAUGACCGAGACACAUCUCAGGUCAAUAUCCAAUAGCGAAACCUGGAUGAUCAUAUUGGCUCCUACAUAUUCUACAAAGAUCUUUAUCGGUCAAACCGCAUAACAACAUACGUCAUUCCCUUUGUCAUUGGUAUGGUACUUGCCCGAGAUUCGAUCGUCGACACCAUCAUACCUAGUUCAAUCUCGUUACUGGCAAGUCUCUUUACUCGUUCUGUAAUGCAUCAUCCCACAACUAACUCAUUAGUCACAUUGCUUGCAAGGCUUAUAGUGAUGUGCAUUACCGAGAGGGCCCAAAAUACCUCUCCGAUACUCGGAGUGACAAAUCCUAAUCUCGAUCUAUGCCAACUCAACAAACACCUUCGGAGACACCUGUAGAGCAUCUUUAUAAUCACCCUGUUACGUUGUGACGUUUGAUAGCACACAAGGUGUUCCUCUGGUAUUCGGGAGUUGCAUAAUCUCAUAGUCAGAGGAAUAUGUAUAAGUCAUGAAGAAAGCAAUAGCAAUGAAACUAAACAAUCAUUAUGCUAAGCUAACGGAUGGGUCUUGUCCAUCACAUCAUUCUCUAAUGAUGUGAUCCCGUUCAUCAAAUGACAACAUAUGUCUAUGGUCAUGAAACUUAACCAUCUUUGAUUAACGAGCUAGUCAAGUAGAGGCAUACUAGGGACACUUCUGUUUGUCUAUGUAUGCACACAUGUACUAAGUUUUCGGUUAAUACAAUUCUAGCAUGAAUAAUAGACAUUUAUCAUGAUAUAACGAAAUAUAAAUAACAACUUUAUUAUUGCCUCUAGGGCAUAUUUCCUUCGGUCUCCCACUUGCACUAGAGUCAAUAAUCUAUAUCACAUAGUAAUGAUUCUAACACCCAUGGAGUCUUGGUGCUGAUCAUGUUUUGCUCGUGAGAGAGGCUUAGUCAAUGGGUCUGCAACAUUCAGAUCCGUAUGUAUCUUGCAAAUCUCUAUGUCUCCCUCCUUGACUUAAUCGCGGAUGGAAUUGAAGCGUCUCUUGAUGUGUUUGGUUCUCUUGUGAAAUUUGGAUUCCUUCGCCAAGGAAAUUGCUCCAUUAUUGUCACAAAAUAUUUUCAUUGGACCGGAUGCACUAGGUAUUACACCUAGAUCGGAUAUGAAAUCCUUCAUCCAGACUCCUUAAUUUGCUGCUUCCGAAGCAGCUAUGUACUCCGCUUCACACGUAGAUCCCGCCACGACGCUUUGCUUGGAACUGCACCAACCGACAGCUCCACCAUUCAAUAUAAAUAUGUAUCCAGUUUGUGACUUAGAGCCAUCUGGAUCAGUGUCAAAGCUUGCAUCGACGUAACCAUUUACGACAAGCUCUUUGUCACCUCCAUAAACGAGAAACAUAUCCUUAGCCCUUUUCAGGUAUUUCAGGAUGUUCUUGACCGCUGUCUAGUGAUCCACUCCUAGAUUACUUUGGUACCUCCCUGCUAAACUUAUAGCAAGGCACACAUCAGGUCUGGUACACAGCAUUGCAUACAUGAUUGAACCUAUGGCUGAGGCAUAGGGAAUGACUUUCAUUUUCUCUCUAUCUUCUGCAGUGGUCGGGCAUUGAGUCUGACUCAACUUCACACCUUGUAACACAGGCAAGAACCCUUUCUUUGACUAAUCCAUUUUAAACCUUUUCAAAACUUUAUCAAGGUAUGUGCUUUGUGAAAGUCCAAUUAAGCGUCUUGAUCUAUCUCUAUAGAUCUUGAUGCCCAAUAUAUAAGCAGCUUCACCGAGGUCUUUCAUUGAAAGAUUCUUAUUCAAGUAUCCUGUUAUGCUAUCCAGAAAUUCCGUAUUAUUUCCAAUCAAUAAUAUGUCAUCCACAUAUAAUAUUAGAAAUGCUACAGAGCUCCCACUCACUUUCUUGUGAAUACUGGCUUCUCCAAAAGUCUGUAUAAAACCAUAUGCUUUGAUCACACUAUCAAAUCAUAAAUUCCAACUCCGAGAGUUUUGCACCAGUUCAUAAAUGGAUCGCUGGAGCUUGCACAAUUUGUUAGCACCUUUAGGAUCAACAAAACCUUCUGGUUGCAUCAUAUACAACUCUUCUUUAAGAUCUGCAUUAAGGAAUGCAGUUUUGACAUCCAUUUGCCAAAUUUCAUAAUCAUAAAAUGCGGCAAUUGCUAACAUGAUUCAGAGAGACUUAAGCAUCGCUACGGGUGAGAAGGUCUCAUCGUAGUCAACUCCUUGAACUUGUCGAAAACCUUCCGCAACAAGUCGAGCUUUGUAGACAGUAACAUUACCGUCAAUGUCAGGCUUCCUCUUAAAGAUCCAUUUAUUCUCUAUGGCUUGCGGAUCAUCGGGAAAGUCAACCGAAGUCCACACUUUGUUCUCAUACAUGGAUCCCAUCUUAGAUUUCUUGGCCUCAAGCCAUUUCACGGAAUCUGGGCUCAUCAUCGCUUCCUCGUAGUUCGUAGGUUCGUCAUGGUCUAGUAACCUGACCUCCAGAAUAGGAUUACCGUACCACUCUGGUGCAGAUCGUACUCUGGUUGACAUACGAGGUUCGGUAGUAACUUGAUCUGAAGUUUCAUGAUCAUCAUCAUUAGCUUCCUCACUAAUUGGUGUAGGAAUCACUGGAACAGAUUUCUGUGAUGAACUAUUUUCCAAUUCAGGAGAAGGUACAAUUACCUCAUCAAGUUCUACUUUCCUCCCACUCACUUCUUUCAAGAGAAACUCCUUCUCUAGAAAGGAUCCAUUCUUAGCAACGAAUAUCUUGCCUUCGGAUCUGUGAUAGAAGGUGUACCCAACAAUAUCUUUUGGCUAUCCUAUGAAGACACAUUUCUCCGACUUGGGUUCGAGCUUAUCAUGUUGAAGAUUUUUCACAUAAGCAUCGCAGCCCCAAACUUUAAGAAACGACAACUUAGUUUUCUUGCCAAACCAGAGUUCAUAUGGUGUCGUCUCAACGGAUUUAGAUGGUGCCCUAUUUAACGUGAAUGUAGCUGUCUCUAAAGUAUAACCCCAAAACAAUAGCGGUAAAUCGGUAAGAGACAUCAUAGAUCGCACCAUAUCUAGUAAAGUACGACUACGACGUUCGGACACACCAUUACGCUGUGGUGUUCCAGGUGGCGUGAGUUGCGAAACUAUUCCACAUUGUUUCAAAUGAAGACCAAACUCAUAACUCAAAUAUUCACCUCCAUGAUCAGAUCAUAGAAACUUUAUUUUCUUGUUACGAUGAUUUUCCGCUUCACUUUGAAAUUCUUUGAACUUUUCAAAUGUUUUAGACUUAUGUUUCAUCAAGUAGAUAUACUCAUAUCUGCUCAAAUCAUCUAUGAAAGUUAGAAAAUAACGAUACCCACCGCGAGCCUCAACACUCAUCGGACCGCAUACAUCAGUAUGUAUUGUUUCCAAUAAGUCAGUUGCUCGCUCCAUUGUUCCGGAGAACGGAGUCUUAGUCAUCUUGCCCAUGAGGCAUGGUUCGCAAGCCUCAAGUGAUUCAUAAUCAAGUGAUUCCAAAAGCCCAUCAGUAUGGAGUUUCUUCAUGCGCUUUACACCAAUAUGACCUAAAAGGCAGUGCCACAAAUAAGUUGCACUAUCAUUAUUAACUUUACAUCUUUUGGCUUCAAUAUUAUGAAUAUGUGUAUCACUACAAUCGAGAUUCAACAAAAAUAGACCACUCAUCAAGGGUGCAUGACCAUAAAAGAUAUUACUCAUAUAAAUAGAACUGAAGGAAAUAUGCCCUAGAGGCAAUAAUAAAGUUGUUAUUUAUAUUUACUUAUAUCAUGAUAAAUGUUAAUUAUUCAUGCUAGUAUUGUAUUAACCGGAAACUUAGUACAUGUGUGAAUACAUAGACAAACAUAGUGUCACUAGUAUGCCUCUACUUGACUAGCUCGUUAAUCAAAGAUGGUUAAGUUUCCUAACCAUAGACAUGAGUUGUCAUUUGAUGAGCGGGAUCACAUCAUUAGAGAAUGAUGUGAUUGACUUGACACAUCCGUUAGCUUAGCACUAUGAUCGUUUAGUUUAUUUUUAUUGCUUUCUCCAUAACUUAUACAUGUUCCUAUGACUAUGAUAUCAUGCAACUCCCGAAUCCCGGAGGAACACUUAGUGCUAUCAAACAUCAUGAUGUAAUUGGGUGAUUAUAAAGAUGCUCUACAGGUGUCUCUGAUGGUGUAUGUUGAGUUGGCAUAGAUCGAGAUUAGGAUUUGUCACUCCGAUUGUCGAAGAGGUAUCUCUGGGCCCUCUCGGUAAUGCACAUCACUAUAAGCCUUGCAAGCAAUGUGACUAAUGGGUUAGUUACGGGAUGUUGCAUUACAUAACGAGUAAAGAGACUUGCCAGUAAUGAGAUUGAACUAGGUAUGAUGAUACCAAUGAUCGAAUCUUGGGCAAGUAACAUACCGAGGACAAAGGGAACGACGUAUGUUGUUAUGCGGUUUGACCGAUAAAGAUCUUUGUAGAAUAUGUAGGAGGCAAUAUGAGCAUCCAGGUUCCGAUAUUGGCUAUUGACCGGAGAUGUGUCUCGGUCAUGUCUACAUAGUUCUUAAACCCGUAGGGUCCGCACGCUUAACGUUUGAUGACGAUUUGUAUUAUGAGUUAUGUGAUUUGAUAUACCGAAGGUUUUUUGGAGUCCCGAAUGAGAUCACGGACAUGACGAGGAGUCUCAAAAUGGUCGAGACAUAAAGAUCGAUAUAUUGGAAGCCUAUGUUUGGAUAUCGGAAUGGUUCCGUGUGAGUUCAGGAAUAUACCGGAGUACCGGGAGGUUACCGGAACCCCGCGGGAAGUAUAUGGGCCUUAUUGGGCCAUAGUGGGAGAGAGGAGAAGGGAGCCUAGGAGGGGCGUGCCCCCCAAGCCCAAUCCGAAUUGGGUGGGCGGUCGGCCCCCUUUCCUUCCCCCCUCUCCCCCUUCCUUCCUCUCCUAAUCCAACUAGGGAAGGAGGGGAAUCCUACUCCCCAUGGGAGUAGGACUCCCCUUGGGCGCGCCAUAGAGGGGCCGGCCCUCCCCCUCCUCCACUCAUUUAUAUACGGGGGAGGGGGGCACCCCAUAGAUACACAAGUUGAUCUCUUAGCCGUGUGCGGUGCCCCCCUCCACAGAUUUCCACCUUGAUCAUAUCGUUAUAGAGCUUAGGCGAAGCCCUGCUUCGGUAACUUCAUCAUCACCGUCAUCACAUCGUCGUGCUGACGAAGCUCUCCCUCGACACUCAGCUGGAUCUAGAGUUCGUGGGACGUCACCGAGCUGAACGUGUGCAGAUCGCGGAGGUGUCGUACCUUCGGUGCUAGGAUCGGUCGGAUCGUGAAGACAUACGACUACAUCAACCGCGUUGUCAUAACGCUUCCGCUUACGGUCUACGAGGGUACGUGGACAACACUCUCCCCUCUCAUUGCUAUGCAUCACCUAGAUAUAUCUUGCGUGUGCGUAGGAUUUUUUUUGAAAUUACUACGUUUUCCAACAGUGGCAUCCGAGCCAGGUCUAUGCGUAGAUGUUAUAUGCACGAGUAGAACACAAAGGAGUUGUUGGCGUGGGUAUUAUACAUAUUGCUUGCCGUCACUAGUUGAUUCUUGAUUCAGCGGUAUUGUUGGAUGAAGUGGCUCAGACCGACAUUAUGCGUAUGCUUACGCGAGACUGGUUCUACCGACGUGCUUCACACACAGGUGGCUAGUGGAUGUCAGUUUCUCCAACUUUAGUUGAAUCGGAUUCAAUGAACAUGGUUCUUUCUGAAGAUCAAAAAUCAAUCACUAUACCGCGUUGUGGUUUUCGAUGUGUAGGUAAGAACGGUUCUUGCUCAGCCCGUAGCAGCCACGUAAAACUUUUAACAACAAAGUAGAGGACGUCUAACUUGUUUUUGC
This 9526-nucleotide long non-coding RNA is filed under the name Triticum aestivum (bread wheat). RNAcentral describes it as "long non-coding RNA (TAES_LNC025827)". Lineage: Eukaryota; Viridiplantae; Streptophyta; Magnoliopsida; Poales; Poaceae. The record is from RNAcentral.